GGCCACGUGGCGGAGUGGUGACGCAGCGGACUGCAAAUCCGCGCACGCCGGUUCGAUUCCGGCCGUGGCCUCCA
Molecule: transfer RNA, 74 nt
Filed under: Hyphomicrobiales bacterium
Lineage: Bacteria; Pseudomonadati; Pseudomonadota; Alphaproteobacteria; Hyphomicrobiales
Also listed under: 6 other names
Description: Rhizobiales bacterium (sediment metagenome) tRNA-Cys
Rfam family: tRNA
About the family: Transfer RNA (tRNA) molecules are approximately 80 nucleotides in length. Their secondary structure includes four short double-helical elements and three loops (D, anti-codon, and T loops). Further hydrogen bonds mediate the characteristic L-shaped molecular structure. tRNAs have two regions of fundamental functional importance: the anti-codon, which is responsible for specific mRNA codon recognition, and the 3' end, to which the tRNAs corresponding amino acid is attached (by aminoacyl-tRNA synthetases). tRNAs cope with the degeneracy of the genetic code in two manners: having more than one tRNA (with a specific anti-codon) for a particular amino acid; and 'wobble' base-pairing, i.e. permitting non-standard base-pairing at the 3rd anti-codon position.
Source: RNAcentral